CCUACGGGUGGCAGCAGUGAGGAAUAUUGGUCAAUGGCCGGAAGGCUGAACCAGCCAAGUAGCGUGAGGGACGACUGCCCUAUGGGUUGUAAACCUCUUUUAUAGGGGAGGAAUAAAUCCUAAGUGUAGCAUGAUGCCUGUACCUUAUGAAUACGCAUCGGCUAACUCCGUGCCAGCCGACGCGGUACUACGGAGGAUGCGAGCGUUAUCCGGAUUUAUUGGGUUUAAAGGUUGCGUAGGCUGUUUUUUAAGUUAGGGGUUAAACGGCGGGGCUUCACCUUGAUUUGCCAUUAAUAAUGUAAGACUCGAGUUCAGACGAGGUAGGCGGAAUAAGUUAAGGAGCGGUGAAAUGCUUAGAUAUAACUUAGAACACCGAUAGCGAAGGCAGCUUACCAGACUGCGACUGACGCUGAAGCACGAGAGCGUGGGUAGCGAACAGGAUUAGAUACCCGUGUAGUC
Molecule: ribosomal RNA, 459 nt
Filed under: uncultured bacterium
Lineage: Bacteria
Description: partial 16S ribosomal RNA
Rfam family: Bacterial small subunit ribosomal RNA
Source: RNAcentral